This 1524-nucleotide ribosomal RNA is filed under the name uncultured rumen bacterium. RNAcentral's name for it is "bacterial SSU rRNA". It matches the Rfam family "Bacterial small subunit ribosomal RNA". The record is from RNAcentral.
AGAGUUUGAUCAUGGCCCAGGAUAAACGCCGGAGGCGCACAUAAGACAUGCAAGCCGAACGGACUUAACUCUUUCUUUUAGAUUGAGAGCGGUUAGUGGCGGACUGGUGAGUAACACGUAAGUAACCUGCCUAUUAGGGGGGAAUAACAGUGAGAAAUCACUGCUAAUACCGCAUAAGCUGAUAAUAUCGCCAUGAUAUAGUCAGAAAAGGAGCAAUCCGCUAAUAGAUGGGCUUGCGGCUGAUUAGCUAGUUGGUGAGGUAACGGCUUACCAAGGCGACGAUCAGUAGCCGAGCCUGAGAGGCUCUACGGCCACAUUGGGACUGAGAUACGGCCCAACUCCUACGGGAGGCAGCAGUCGGGAAUAUUGCGCAAUGGAGGAAACUCUGACGCAGUGACGCCGCGGUAUAGGAUGAAGGUUUUCGGAUUGUAAACUAUUGUCGUUAGGGAAGAAAUUUGACAGUACCUAAGGAGGAAGCUCCGGCUAACUAUGUGCCAGCAGCCGCGGUAAUACAUAGGGAGCAAGCGUUAUCCGGAUUUAUUGGGUGUAAAGGGUGCGUAGACGGAGAAGCAAGUUGGUUGUGAAAUCCCUCGGCUUAACUGAGGAACUGCAACCAAAACUACUUCCCUUGAGUGUUGGAGAGGAAAGUGGAAUUCCUAGUGUAGCGGUGGAAAUGCGUAGAUAUUAGGAGGAACACCAGUGGCGAAGGCGACUUUCUGGACAAUUACUGACGUUGAGGCACGAAAGUGUGGGGAGCAAACAGGAUUAGAUACCCUGGUAGUCCACACCGUAAACGAUGGAUACUAGGUGUAGGGAAUAUUAAGUUCUCUGUGCCGCCGCUAACGCAUUAAGUAUCCCACCUGGGGAGUACGACCGCAAGGUUGAAACUCAAAGGAAUUGACGGGGGCCCGCACAAGCAGUGGAGUAUGUGGUUUAAUUCGAAGCAACGCGAAGAACCUUACCAGGGCUUGACAUAUACCCGAAAAACUAAGAGAUUAGUUCCUUCUUCGGAACAGGUAUACAGGUGGGUGCAUGGUUGUCGUCAGCUCGUGUCGUGAGAUGUUGGGUUAAGUCCCGCAACGAGCGCAACCCCUAUGGUUAGUUGCCAGCACAUAAUGGUGGGAACUCUAGCCAGACUGCCGGUGAUAAAUCCGGAGGAAGGGUGGGGACGACGUCAAAUCAUCAUGCCCUUUAUGUCCUGGGCUACACACGUACUACAAUGGCUGUAACAGAGGGAAGCAAUAUAGUGAUAUGGAGCAAAACCCUAAAAGCAGUCUCAGUUCGGAUUGAAGUCUGAAAUUCGACUUCAUGAAACCGGAAUUGCUAGUAAUGGCAGGUCAGCAUACUUCCGUGAAUACGUUCCCGGGCCUUGUACACACCGUCCCGUGCACACCAUGAGAGUUGGAAAUACCCGAAGCCUGUGAGGCUAACUAUAUGAGGCAGCAGUCGAAGGUAGAGCCAAUGAUUGGGGUGAAGUCGUAACAAGGUAUGCCGUAUCGGAAGGUGCGGCUGGAUCACCUCCUU